GGUUCAAUGGUCUAGUGGUUAUGAUUUCUGUCUUACACACAGAAGGUCCCCGGUUCGAGCCCGGGUUGAACCA
This 73-nucleotide transfer RNA is filed under the name Leucoagaricus sp. SymC.cos. It matches the Rfam family "tRNA". From Rfam's summary of the family: Transfer RNA (tRNA) molecules are approximately 80 nucleotides in length. Their secondary structure includes four short double-helical elements and three loops (D, anti-codon, and T loops). The record is from Rfam by way of RNAcentral. Lineage: Eukaryota; Fungi; Basidiomycota; Agaricomycetes; Agaricales; Agaricaceae.